GUUUUACGUCAAGCAAUACGUAGAGUAACUCCCAAUAUAGGAGUAAAAACAAGAUGUAAUAAAAAAGGAUCGACGCGGAAAGUUCCGAUUGAAAUAGGAUCUAAACAAGGAAGAGCACUUGCCAUUCGUUGGUUAUUAGAAGCAUCCCAAAAGCGUCCGGGUCGAAAUAUGGCUUUCAAAUUAAGUUCCGAAUUAGGCAAAAAUUAG
Molecule: ribosomal RNA, 207 nt
Filed under: Triticum aestivum (bread wheat)
Lineage: Eukaryota; Viridiplantae; Streptophyta; Magnoliopsida; Poales; Poaceae
Description: partial small subunit ribosomal RNA
Source: RNAcentral